UAUUGCUCUUGAACGAGGAAUCCCUAGUAAGUGUGAGUCAUCAGCUCAUGCUAAUUACAUCUCUGCCCUUUGUACACACUGCUCAUCGCUACUACCGAUUGAAUAGCUUAGUGAGACCCUCGGAUCGACUUAUAGAAGCCUUAACCAGCAUCCGUUUGUUGAGAAGUUGGUCAAACCUGGUCAUUUAGAGGAAGUAAAAGUUGUAACAAGGUUUCCGUAGGUGAACCUGUGGAAGGAUCAUUAAAAAAUAUGGGGUAUUUAUACCUCUUGUAUUUAAAACCAACUCUUUAAUAAACAUUUUUUAAAUAAAAAAUAAAAACUUUCAACAAUGGAUCUCUUGGCUCUCGCAUUGAUAAAGAACGCAGCAAAAUGCAAAAAGUAAUAUGAAUUGCAGAAUUUUGUGAAUCAUCAAAUCUUUGAAUACAAAUUGCACUCCUUGGUAUUCUGAGGAGUACACUUGCUUGAGGGUCAGUUAAAUAAAUAUAUCGUAACAUCUUUUGGUAUUGCAGAUCUGGGUUAUCUGGUUUUAAGUCGGUUUACCUAAAAUUAUUAAUUAUUGUAAUGUGAUAUGUACUAAGAGAGUCGUUAAUCAUUAAAACUUAAUAUAUAUAUAUUACCUCUAAUUCUUUUUUAUUGGUAAAGUAUAUAAUUUUUGAGAAUAACCUCAAGUCAAGUGAGAGUACCUGCUGAACUUAAGCAUAUCAAUAAGUGGAGGAAAAGAAACUAACAAGAAUUCCCCUAGUAACGGUGAGCAAAGCAGGAAGAGCACAAAUUUUAAAUCUAUCUGGUUUUCCGGGUCGAGUUGUAAUUUGGAGAAAUGUUUUUAAUGUUUCAGGUUGGUUUAAAUCCUUUGGGAUAAGGUAUCAUAGAGGGUAAGAAUCCCGUAUAUAUCAACUACUAGGAUGUUAUAAAUUAUUCUCUAAGAGUUGAGUUGUAUGGGAAUACAGCUCUAAAUGGGUGGUAAAUUUUACCUAAUGCUAAAUAUAAGCAAGAGACCGAUAGCGAACAAGUACCGUAAGGGAAAGAUGAAAAGAACUUUGAAAAGAGAGUUAAAUAGUAUGUAAAAUUGUUGAAAGGGAAACGAUUGAAGUCAGUCAUGCAAGUGAGAAUCAACUUGGAAUAACUUCCAAAGUACAUUUCUUUGCUUGCCAGGUUAGCGUCGAUUUUGAAUGUCAUAAAAUGAUUGAGAGAAAGUAGCUCUUUCGGGAGUAUUAUAACCCUUGGUUAAUAUGAUGUUUGGGAUCAAGGAUUGCAACGAAUACCUUUUAGACUAGCCGCCUGGCCUCUGAUUCGAUUUCAGGUUAUAGACAGCAUGCUGACUAUGAUUUGAUUAUUGGUUAAAAGGUUAGAGUGAGCAUAAAUUCAUUAAGGACGCUGAUGUAAUGGCUUUAAAUGAUCUAUCUUGAAACACAGACCAAGAAGUCUAACAUGUAUGCGAGUGUU
RNAcentral lists this ribosomal RNA (1443 nucleotides) under uncultured Glomeromycotina. RNAcentral's name for it is "eukaryotic LSU rRNA". The stretch from base 660 to 1443 matches the Rfam family "Eukaryotic large subunit ribosomal RNA", at positions 1 to 694 of the family's 3401-position model. The record is from RNAcentral. Lineage: Eukaryota; Fungi; Glomeromycota.